CAUAUAAAUAACCUUUGCUGAUGGCAAAAGAAUCAGUUCAGUAUGGAUGUUCAGAUCAGGAUGUAAUUAAAAUUUGUAAACAUCUAAUUAGUAUUCUCACUGAUAUUGAUGUUUAUCCAUUAUUUUGAGAGGAACAAAGACAAGUCUGGUGACACUAAAGUCUUAGGGUAGUUUGUCAUGCACAAACAUUACUUUUGUGAAGUAAUUUCAAUAGUCAAGGUAGAAGAUGGAAAGAAAAAAUGUUACAGUUGCCCAGAGUAAUUCACUUCCUGGGCAGGUUGUUGUUGAUCUAAGUAGCUGAAAAGACACUAACACUGUUUUAUAAUGCAGACAAUAGCUGUAUGUGCUUCACUGCAAGUGUUUUGAUGGAAAAGAGAUUACAGUUCUCUUUUGUCCUCUUAACCUCAUCUAGGCACGUUUUCAGUCACACUUUUAGCCCACAGCUGGAUAGCUCUGUUUGCAAAGCAUUCUGGCUCCAGUACUUGAACUUCAUGUUACAAGUGUUGGAUCUGCCAUUGUUGGCUUCCUCCUGGUUCCGUGACAACUUCCUUAAUUUGUUGUUCUCUUCCUUAAUUUGUUGUACCAUGGGUAGUAAGUUCAUACUGGCAGUGAAAUAUUGGCUCCAUUCUUAAGCAUAAGCAUGAAGGCCAAAUCUGAUGGUCUGAAAUUUCACACACAGAAUUCCCAACAGCUCUAUCAUAGGCUAGUUUUAUGUUUCCUCUAAUGAGAUAGCCCUUCCCCCACUGCCCUAAACCUAUUAUUAUUUCUAAGAAAUAUUAUAUUUGUUAAGGCACAUCUUGGAGCCAGGGAAUAGAGCGGUAAUUUCCAGCCCCUUAAAAAAAUAAACCUGAUGGCUAUGCUAGUUGGUUAGAAUUGCAUUGGUGAU
RNAcentral lists this long non-coding RNA (886 nucleotides) under Marmota monax (woodchuck). Lineage: Eukaryota; Metazoa; Chordata; Mammalia; Rodentia; Sciuridae. The record is from RNAcentral.